This 1472-nucleotide long non-coding RNA is filed under the name Cavia porcellus (domestic guinea pig). Its description in RNAcentral is "lncRNA (ENSCPOG00000031547.1)". The record is from RNAcentral. Lineage: Eukaryota; Metazoa; Chordata; Mammalia; Rodentia; Caviidae.
ACAUUGAUGUGCUUUCUGGCUCCAAGAAAGAUUAUAAACUGAACUUCUUUUCCCAUAAGGAGGGAAUCUAUACUGCAAAGGUGACCUUCCGAAACGAGGCGACCGGUGAGUUCCUGUUCUACACGGUGAGUUUCAAGGUCACCCCUUCAGGCACCAUCAAAACCAUCAAGAUGACAACCCCUGUCCGGCAGAGUACGUCAGCCUCCAUUAAGCUGGAGAACCCCCUACCCUACUCGGUGACCUUCUCCACGGAAUGCAAGUUGUCUGACAUCAGCCUGCCCUCCCAGUUUGCUGUGCCCGCCAACUCCGAGGGUACAUUCUCAUUUGAAUUCCAGCCCCUGAAAGCUGGUGAAACCUUAGGGAAACUAACUUUGUACAACAGUGAUUUAGGUUACUACCAGUAUGAGCUCAAUUUGAAGGCUGUGCCGGCGCCUCCUGAAAAGCCCAUCCGCUUCCAGACUGUUCUUGGCAGCAGCCAAAGUAUCGUUGCAAAGUUCACCAAUUACACGCGGCAGAAGACAGAGUACUUCUCCAAGACAGACUGUCAGGACUUCCACACAGAAAAAGUCAUCAGCGCACCCCCAGGAGCCCAGGGAGGCACUGAAGUGGGCGUGGAAGUCUUCUUUGAGCCCAGCCACCUGGGUGAGACCAAGGGCACCCUGACCCUGACAUCGAUUCUAGGUGGGGAAUAUACCAUCCCCCUCUUCGGAAUGGCUCUACCCCCCAAGCCCCAGGGCCCCUUCGUGAUCAGAGCCGGGUACAACAUAGUCAUCCCCUUCAAGAACAUCUUCCUGCAAACGGCCAGCUUCUCCUUCUUUGUGGAUAACCCAGCCUUCACCAUCCGUGCUGCGGAGACUGUGCGGCCCAGGAAGGCCAACAACAUCACCGUCUCCUUCGAAGGAAACCCAUCCGGCAGCAAAACCCCCAUCACCACAAGGCUGACUGUAACCUGCCCUACCCGUGAAGGCAGCGAAGCAGGGAUUAAAUGGGUUUAUUACCUGAAGGGAAUCACUCCUUAGUGCAAAGCUGGGUUACCUGCACCUACUAAAAACCACCUCCUCGGCUCAAGAGCCACGCCUCAUCCCAGCCUGAUAAAGAAUAAAGUAGAACAUAGGAAUUCUAAAGGGACGACACCCUCACUUAAUCAUCAGGGCAGUUACUGCUAUAUAUUCUUAAAACUGCUAUAAAUUAUUGAUUUCAUAUUAAGCGUUAGAGCUACAUGCAACAGAUCUUUAUCUGAGAUAAUUCAAUCCAUGCAAGCUCCUGAAUUUUAUUUCUCGAUCUAUCUCCUAGCUCAAGCACUGUGUAAUGAUAUCUUUUUUUUAAACAAAGAUACAGGUAUCAGACUCGUGACCUUCUCCACACAACUCGUAGCAGGGCCGGCCUCCAGGGCGCUGCAAUUUCCUUGUAAAAUCUAAAGGCCCCGUAGGUAUGAGAUUAUUUUGAUGUGAUACAUUAUUCUACUUUCACAU